GCCAUGAUGCCCGAGUGGUCUAAGGGGAUUGACUUAAGAUCAAUUGUACGCUGUACGCGUGGGUUCAAACCCCACUCAUGGCA
This is a non-coding RNA of Baffinella frigidus, 83 nucleotides long. Lineage: Eukaryota; Cryptophyceae; Cryptomonadales; Baffinellaceae. The record is from the annotation of a GenBank genome assembly.